AGGUUAGGGCCUGCUAGCUCUGGUUGGUUGCUGUGUGCCCUGUCACAGUGUCUGGAGCAGGGGGGGAAACCCUUGCAGUUUAGAAGUUGUCCUGCUAAAGAAGGGUUUUGCACUGUUUCUGCACCCAAGCUGAAGCCUCUUUCAUGUGGAGAAUGUUUUUCUUCUUUGAAGACUUGGCAAAUAUUUGCCUAGCGUGGAUGUGAAGGAGGCACACGUGUGUGCAAGCAUUUUGGAUCAGAAGAGGCCUGCCAUUUCACAUGUGCUCCAGCUGUUCCCUUCACCCACCACUGGCAGGAUUAGUACUUUCAUUAACUUCUAAUGAGUUAAGUGUGUGGAAAGCACAAAAAGAGGUGGUGGAAGAUUGUUAGAUUGCUUCCAGCAUGGAGAAGCUGGGUGAGAUCCCAGAAGGGCCCCAGUAAGUUUUUCACAGCUGCAUGAAAUGAGGAGUUGCAAGGCUGACUCACUUCCCUGACUGCUCAUUGCAAUGGAGUGACAACAGGGCAGUGUUUCUGUCCCUGAUGCUUUUUUUUUCUGAGAGCACUGAGGGCUUA
Long non-coding RNA from Oxyura jamaicensis (ruddy duck), 551 nucleotides. RefSeq lists it as uncharacterized. The record is from RefSeq and is a predicted model, not a curated record. NCBI's taxonomy places the organism in Eukaryota, Metazoa, Chordata, Aves, Anseriformes, Anatidae. The transcript is spliced from 3 exons.